Non-coding RNA from Cavia porcellus (domestic guinea pig), 64 nucleotides. NCBI's taxonomy places the organism in Eukaryota, Metazoa, Chordata, Mammalia, Rodentia, Caviidae. The record is from Rfam.
GGGGAUUUAGCUCAGCGGCAUAAGCGCCUGCCUUGCAAGCAGGCAGUCGUGAGUUCAAUUCCCA